ACUGAACAUUGAGCCUUGAUGUGUAGGAUAGGUGGGAGGCUUUGAAGUGUGGACGCCAGUCUGCAUGGAGCCGACCUUGAAAUACCACCCUUUAAUGUUUGAUGUUCUAACGUGGACCCGUGAUCCGGGUUGCGGACAGUGUCUGGUGGGUAGUUUGACUGGGGCGGUCUCCUCCUAAAGAGUAACGGAGGAGCACGAAGGUUGGCUAAUCCUGGUCGGACAUCAGGAGGUUAGUGCAAUGGCAUAAGCCAGCUUGACUGCGAGCGUGACGGCGCGAGCAGGUGCGAAAGCAGGUCAUAGUGAUCCGGUGGUUCUGAAUGGAAGGGCCAUCGCUCAACGGAUAAAAGGUACUCCGGGGAUAACAGGCUGAUACCGCCCAAGAGUUCAUAUCGACGGCGGUGUUUGGCACCUCGAUGUCGGCUCAUCACAUCCUGGGGCUGAAGUAGGUCCCAAGGGUAUGGCUGUUCGCCAUUUAAAGUGGUACGCGAGCUGGGUUUAGAACGUCGUGAGACAGUUCGGUCCCUAUCUGCCGUGGGCGCUGGAGAACUGAGGGGGGCUGCUCCUAGUACGAGAGGACCGGAGUGGACGCAUCACUGGUGUUCGGGUUGUCAUGCCAAUGGCACUGCCCGGUAGCUAAAUGCGGAAGAGAUAAGUGCUGAAAGCAUCUAAGCACGAAACUUGCCCCGAGAUGAGUUCUCCCUGAGACUUAGAGUCUCCUGAAGGAACGUUGAAGACGACGACGUUGAUAGGCCGGGUGUGUAAGCGCAGCGAUGCGUUGAGCUAACCGGUACUAAUGAACCGUGAGGCUUAACCUUACAACGCCGAAG
This 827-nucleotide ribosomal RNA is filed under the name Salmonella enterica subsp. enterica serovar Fresno str. ST224. RNAcentral describes it as "bacterial LSU rRNA". It matches the Rfam family "Bacterial large subunit ribosomal RNA", at positions 2116 to 2925 of the family's 2925-position model. The record is from RNAcentral. Lineage: Bacteria; Pseudomonadati; Pseudomonadota; Gammaproteobacteria; Enterobacterales; Enterobacteriaceae.